RNAcentral lists this ribosomal RNA (229 nucleotides) under uncultured bacterium. RNAcentral describes it as "partial 16S ribosomal RNA". It matches the Rfam family "Bacterial small subunit ribosomal RNA", at positions 568 to 796 of the family's 1533-position model. The record is from RNAcentral.
CGUGUAGGCGGGAAUACAAGUCAGAUGUGAAAUACUGCGGCUCAACUGCAGAACGGCAUCUGAAACUGUAUUUCUUGAGUACUGGAGAGGAAAGCGGAAUUCCUAGUGUAGCGGUGAAAUGCGUAGAUAUUAGGAGGAACACCGGUGGCGAAGGCGGCUUUCUGGACAGUAACUGACGCUGAGACGCGAAAGCGUGGGAAGCAAACAGGAUUAGAUACCCUGGUAGUCC